Molecule: ribosomal RNA, 253 nt
Filed under: uncultured bacterium
Lineage: Bacteria
Description: partial 16S ribosomal RNA
Rfam family: Bacterial small subunit ribosomal RNA
Source: RNAcentral
UACGUAGGGCGCAAGCGUUAUCCGGAAUUAUUGGGCGUAAAGAGCUCGUAGGCGGUUUGUCGCGUCUGCCGUGAAAGUCCGGGGCUCAACUCCGGAUCUGCGGUGGGUACGGGCAGACUAGAGUGAUGUAGGGGAGACUGGAAUUCCUGGUGUAGCGGUGAAAUGCGCAGAUAUCAAGAGGAACACCGGUGGCGAAGGCGGGUCUCUGGGCCGAUACUGACGCUGAGGAGCGAAAGCGUGGGGAGCGAACAGG